ACGGCUCAGUAACACGUAGUCAACCUGCCCUGGAGACAUGGACAACCCCGGGAAACUGGGAUUAAUCCGUGAUAGGUCAUCUCAUCUGGAAGGAGAGAUGGCUCAAAGGGGUGCGAGAGCUUCUUUCUUGCACUUGCUCCAGGAUGGGACUGCGGCCGAUCAGGCUGUUGGUGGGGUAAUGGCCCACCAAACCUGUAACCGGUACGGGCCUUGAGAGAGGGGGCCCGGAGGUGGACACUGAGAGAAGGGUCCAGGUCCUACGGGGCGCAGCAGGCGCGAAACCUUCGCAAUGCGCGAAAGCGUGACGAGGUUAAUCCGAGUGGCCCCCGCUGAGGGGGUCUUUUGUUGGCUCUAAAACGGCCAGCGAAUAAGGGGAGGGCAAGUCUGGUGUCAGCCGCCGCGGUAAUACCAGCUCCUCGAGUGGUCGGGGCGAUUAUUGGGCCUAAAGCAUCCGUAGCCGGCUCCGUAGGUCUUCUGUCAAAUCCAACGGCUUAACCGUUGGCCCGCAGAAGAUACCGCGGGACUAGGAGGCGGGAGAGGUGGACGGUACUCCACGUGUAGGGGUAAAAUCCUUUGAUCCGUGGAAGACCACCAGUGGCGAAGGCGGUCCACCAGAACGCGCUCGACGGUGAGGGAUGAAAGCUGGGGGAGCGAACCGGAUUAGAUACCCGGGUAGUCCCAGCCGUAAACGAUGCGAGCUAGAUGAUCCAAUCGCAAAUCGCGAUUGGAGUGUCGCAGGGAAGCCGUUAAGCUCGCCGCCUGGGGAGUACGGUCGCAAGACUGAAACUUAAAGGAAUUGGCGGGGGAGCAC
This 811-nucleotide ribosomal RNA is filed under the name uncultured archaeon. RNAcentral describes it as "bacterial SSU rRNA". It matches the Rfam family "Archaeal small subunit ribosomal RNA", at positions 85 to 879 of the family's 1478-position model. The record is from RNAcentral.